CAAUAGCGUAUAUUAAAGUUGUUGCGGUUAAAAGCUCGUAGUUGGAUUUCUGCCGAGGACGACCGGUCCGCCCUCUGGGUGAGUAUCUGGCUCGGCCUGGGCAUCUUCUUGGAGAACGUAUCUGCACUUGACUGUGUGGUGCGGUAUCCAGGACUUUUACUUUGAGAAAAUUAAAGUGUUCAAAGCAGGCGCUCGCUUGAAUACAUUAGCAUGGAAUAAUAGUAUAGGACUUUGAUCUUAUUUGUUGGUUUUAAAGAUCAAAGUAAUGAUUGAUAGGGACAGUUGGGGGCAUCAGUAUUCUGAAGCGAGAGGUGAAAUUCUUGGACCUUCGGAGACUAACAACUGCGAAAGCAUUUGCCAAGGAUGUUCUCUUUAAUCAAGAACGAAAGUUAGGGGA
Molecule: ribosomal RNA, 397 nt
Filed under: uncultured eukaryote
Lineage: Eukaryota
Description: bacterial SSU rRNA
Rfam family: Eukaryotic small subunit ribosomal RNA
Source: RNAcentral